Molecule: ribosomal RNA, 870 nt
Filed under: Triticum aestivum (bread wheat)
Lineage: Eukaryota; Viridiplantae; Streptophyta; Magnoliopsida; Poales; Poaceae
Description: partial small subunit ribosomal RNA
Source: RNAcentral
AUGAAUAUACUUGCAUGGAAUUGCUGGGGGGUAGGGAACCGUCGGACAGUUCGUGAAGUUUUGGCCCUCUCACAAGCCAACUCCCCAAAGCUUUUCUUUUUGAGUGAAACAAGACAGGAUGCUAACAAAGUUCAGAAGAUUAAGUGGAGACUAGGUCUGAAAGGUUUUUGUGGUGUUUCAAGCAAUGGUCUGAGUGGGGGUUUGGCCCUUUAUUGGGAUGAAUCUCUACAAGUUUCAGUUCUUGACUCUUGUUCCCGAUAUAUUGAUGUAAUGAUUGAUGAUAAUACCUGUGGUGUUCGAUGGAGACGUACCUUUGUCUAUGGAGAACCUCGCGUGGAGAAUAGGCAUUUGAUGUGGGACCAUCUAACAAGGCUUUGGAGUGUUUCAGAUGACCCCUGGAUGGUGUGUGGCGAUUUUAAUGAGGCUAUGUAGCAGCAUGAGCACUUCUCAAGGUCCAUGCAUGCUGAAAAUCAAAUGAUAGCUUUCCGAGAUGCCCUGACAGAUUGCGAACUAUGGGAUCUUGGAUUUCUUGGUGCUCCCUUCACUUAUGAUAAUGGGCAGCGCGGCAACACAAAUGUUCGUGUGAGACUCGAGCGCGCUUGUGCGGACGAGGCAUGGAAGGAGCUGUUCCCUUUUGCUCAAGUGAUGCAUCUUGAAUCUUCACGCUCAGAUCACCUACCCAUUGUAGUGCAACUGGUUCCUGACGUAAAUAACCAGCGACGCCGGGCUUGCCCUCGGUACGAAAUAAUGUGGGAGAGGGAUCGCUCACUCCCGGAGGUGGUAGCACAUGUGUGGGCAAGUAAACGUCCAGAUGGUGACCUGGGUACUGUUGCGUCGUCCUUAAAGGAGUUGAUGUAUGAUCUAAAAUAA